Non-coding RNA from Cinara cedri, 291 nucleotides. The record is from the annotation of a GenBank genome assembly. Lineage: Eukaryota; Metazoa; Arthropoda; Insecta; Hemiptera; Aphididae.
CUACACGGGUGACAGGUUGGGAGCAUGCGGCUAUACCCCCCGUGCCAUUCUCUCUGUCUGUAAAAAAAGUGGCGUUUGUGUGAACUUUGAACGCUAUAGCAGCCAUAUAGUGACCCAAUUUUAACAUUUAAACCAUAGGGAAAACGAUGGUUUCGUAUUUUGCGCAUAAACAAUUGCAUGGACAUAAAAAAUGCUAAGCACCUAAAUUAUUGAUUGAACAAUUGCAUAUCAAAUCGAACUAUUUUGGUGUUAAAAUUGGACCGUCGACAGCUAGCGCUAAUAAUUCACACA